AUCUAAACCCGUUUGGUAACAAAGACUACCUAGGCCAUUGACUCUAUCUGCCUAUUAGCAUCUUUGGUUUUCCAAAUAGUUCUUCAUAUUCAUUCGUUGCAGUUUAGUCCACUGAAACUUCAAUUUUAGCUCAUCCUGGAUACGAAGGUGUGACUUAGCUUACCUCUGGAAGUCCUCUGUGAUUGUCUAUUCAAAAACAGCUCAUCCUGAUGUCCUAUCUUAGGGGCUUUCAUCGUAAAGUCAAAGGCUCUUUCACUCAGUGCUACUUUCUUUGUGUUCUAUAUUUCAAGGUGUCUGAGGCAGGUGAUGAGACCUUUUUAAUAUAGACCUCAGAUUUCUCUCUAUAACAGUAACAAAUUAGGGCAUUCAUCUAAAAGGGGCACGGUACUUGAAUAGCGCAAUCUCUGAUGAAGAAUGGGCAAAAAAUGGUCCUUGAGUCCUCGAAAUUAGAGCAUUAGUUCUUGUCCUGUAGAAGAAAAGAAAUCAGAACCUUAAGCUGAGCUAAACCGAACAGAAAAGCCAAUAGUGCGGAAUAAAGUGGAAGGUGCUGAAAUCAGGAGCGAGAAGGUGAACGCCGGGAACAUAACAAGUUUCAGAGGUAGGAUGCUUAACACCCAGGGCUCCGAGUCACGUGACACACUAUAUUCAGAAGGCCCAAUCUGAGCUUCACAGUUUCUCAAGAUAGAAAAACAGCAUUCCCAAUUCAGGCUGCAGACGUCCUAGAGAACUGCUGCUGCUGUCGAAGUUAAAAUGGGGCCAGGAUCUUAAGAAGACUAGAGUGAAAAACUAAAUAUACUGUGUGGAUAAUUCAAGUUUUAACAACAGAUUCGCCGUAGUCUUAUGUGUCUUCAUGUUCAGGUGAAAGGAUGAAGAGUGGCAUCAAGACAGCUAAAAGUGGUGCUAUCUUCCCAACUCAGACCUCAUGAUGCCAAGAAAGAAAUGACUCCCAAAAGAUGUCUACAUCUGACCUCUACACAUAGGCACUAAAAGCAUUUGUCCUCCCCCCCCCAACAUACACACAUAUCCAUCAGUCAUACAUGCAAUAGUAACACUUCAACAAAGAUGGCUGCCUAGUUAUGAUUGGUUCAGAGAUACUCAGGAAUCCUUAAGAUAUUAAAGGAAGGUUUUCAGAGA
This is a non-coding RNA of Rattus norvegicus (Norway rat), 1134 nucleotides long. The record is from RefSeq and is a predicted model, not a curated record. NCBI's taxonomy places the organism in Eukaryota, Metazoa, Chordata, Mammalia, Rodentia, Muridae.